Molecule: ribosomal RNA, 253 nt
Filed under: uncultured bacterium
Lineage: Bacteria
Description: partial 16S ribosomal RNA
Rfam family: Bacterial small subunit ribosomal RNA
Source: RNAcentral
UACGGGGGGGGCAAGCGUUGUUCGGAAUUACUGGGCGUAAAGGGCUCGUAGGCGGCCAACUAAGUCGGAUGUGAAAUCCCCAGGCUUAACCUGGGAACUGCAUCCGAUACUGGUUGGCUUGAGUUUGGGAGAGGGAUGCGGAAUUCCAGGUGUAGCGGUGAAAUGCGUAGAUAUCUGGAGGAACACCGGUGGCGAAGGCGGCAUCCUGGACCAAUACUGACGCUGAGGAGCGAAAGCCAGGGGAGCAAACGGG